AUUGAACGCUGGCGGCAUGCUUUACACAUGCAAGUCGAACGGCAGCGCGGGCUUCGGCCUGGCGGCGAGUGGCGAACGGGUGAGUAAUGCAUCGGAACGUGCCCCGUAGUGGGGGAUAGCCCGGCGAAAGCCGGAUUAAUACCGCAUACGACCUGCGGGUGAAAGCGGGGGACCGAAAGGCCUCGCGCUAUUGGAGCGGCCGACGUCGGAUUAGCUAGUUGGUGGGGUAAAGGCUUACCAAGCCGACGAUCCGUAGCUGGUCUGAGAGGACGACCAGCCACACUGGGACUGAGACACGGCCCAGACUCCUACGGGAGGCAGCAGUGGGGAAUUUUGGACAAUGGGGGCAACCCUGAUCCAGCCAUGCCGCGUGCGGGACGAAGGCCUUCGGGGUGUAAACCGCUUUUGUUCGGGAAGAAAUCCUCUGGGCUAAUACCCCGGGGGGAUGACGGUACCGGAAGAAUAAGCACCGGCUAACUACGUG
This 484-nucleotide ribosomal RNA is filed under the name uncultured bacterium. Its description in RNAcentral is "partial 16S ribosomal RNA". It matches the Rfam family "Bacterial small subunit ribosomal RNA", at positions 28 to 507 of the family's 1533-position model. The record is from RNAcentral.